Molecule: long non-coding RNA, 1818 nt
Organism: Papaver somniferum (opium poppy)
Lineage: Eukaryota; Viridiplantae; Streptophyta; Magnoliopsida; Ranunculales; Papaveraceae
Exons: 4
Source: RefSeq, a predicted model, not a curated record
UUUCCCCCUUCUUCAAUGGCCCCGUCCACCACCACCACCAACAGCAGCAAAACCAGCUCAGAAGGCGGCGAAAGGCGGUUCAAAGAAACAAAACCUUAAACAUUUUCUAAUGUACUAGAUGGAAUAUGGAAGGUACACCAUUCAAAUUCCAUUCUCUGCUCGCACAAUUAAAGGUUAAUCAACAAGGAAUAGAUAGAUAGAUAUGAUGAUGAUGGAUGUGAGACGGGGUUGUGCUUCUAACCCAUCAUCUCUAUCAUCAUCAUCGUCUCAUCAUCACCUUUUCCGCUCUUUCCCUUCUCUUCGUCACAAAAAUUCGUCAUCAUUGAAUGAAUAUGAAUUACUAGGCUUUGCGUCAGAGCUAGUGGUGAACUACCUAGUUUCUUCUCCUCUUCAUCUUCCCCAGUAAGGAUCCAUUUUGACACUCCUGAGACGUUCCAGUCUCAAGAUUUUUCACAGCUGUCUUCAGUUUGUCCGAUGCCCGGGGAUAUAGCAGAAGGGGAGGCGUAUUGUAGAAUUUGUAGAGCUGCAUAACAGCUUCAUAUUGCUCUAAGGGAGACGUUAUGCAACCCGGAAAUUCGAGAGUGUUCUUACAUAUGAUUCCUCUUCCGAGAUUGAGGAAGAUUAUCCAUUGCAAGGAAAGAAAGUAGGGGCGCAGCUAGGAUGCAUGGCUACUAAGGAAGGACAGAUGUUCUGUCUGGGAGACCAUCUGACUUCUCUCACAUUGUGAGAGAUGAAUUUAGGGUCAUUCCUAGAGUUUUGAUAACGUAGGUUUAGAGUUUGUUAAAGAGGAUGAAUAAAUGAAUGGUGGUGGUGGGGUUUUAAACUUUUUUUCACAGUUGAACUUGGAAAGCCAAAUGGCAGGUGCUAGCGGCAAUCUUUGGUGAGGUGGUCAGGUGCUAGCCGUAGUCUUUGGUGAGGUGUGGUGAUGGUGGUCAAGGGGAAGUUGUGGCAUGGGAGAAGGCGGUGGUGGAAAUGGUGAAGGUGUCGGCGGAGUUGGUGGGGGUGCUGAAGAUGAUGUUGGUGUAGCUAUAGGUGGCGGUACAUGCACUGCUAGUGAAAUUAGUAGUUGAGGUGCAGUUGAAGGUGGUGGAAUUGGAACUGGCACUGGUGUCCGUGGUGGUGCAAACAUUGGAGGAGAUGGACUAAGAGCUGGUGCUUGUGGUGGAAUUGGCGCUGGAGUUGGUAUCUGUGGUGGAGUUGGGGAUGGUGGUUGAUGUGGAGGACUGGGAAGUGGUGGAGUUGGGACUGGUGCAGAAGCUGGAUUUGGUGUUGGAGCUGGUUUAAAUUGUUGUUUUUUUCAGUUCUAGGGGUGUUCUUGUCCUACUUGUGUUGCGGACGCAAAAGGCAGCAGUUGAAUGAAACCCUCAUCAUGACAUAGUUGCAGACUUAUUGUUGCUACUGUCAGGGACUGAUUCACAUGAUUAACCAUUAGUGAAGAAUGAAAGUAUGCUUCUGCAGGAUAAGGCUAGUCCCAUGGUGGCAGUUGCCCCUGGAUCUCAGCCCAGUUUGGAGGUGAUUCAUUCUCAAAUUUGCAUUAGUUUGUACUAUAGUUGAUACAACACCAGAACACCUUGGCUGUUCCUCAUCAAAACAACAAAAACCAAAUAUCCUAGUUGUAGUGCCAACAUGGAUCACAAGUAGCUACCUCAACGUCUUGAUGCAUAUAGCUCUUUCUGCUGUAUAGUGAACUCAAGGAGGAUGGAUUGAAAUGUUUAGAGGACACUGUCAGCUUUUAUUAUCCUUUCAAAAUCUAUGUGUGUAUGUAAAAAAUUUAUCCUUUUACAUCUGUCUGUAUGUUUAUGUAAAAUAUUUGUUGAG